GCUCGUUGAAUGGGUCUAAGCAUGCGAGUCAUUGUAGCAAUACAAGGCGGACGGCUCAGUAACACGUAGUCAACCUAACUCGUGGACGUGGAUAACCUCGGGAAACUGAGAAUAAACCACGAUAGAUCAUAGUGCCUGGAAUGGCUUAUGGUCCAAACAGUUUACUGCCAUGGGAUGGGACUGCGGCCUAUCAGCUUGCUGGUGAGGUAAUGGCCCACCAAGGCGAUUACAGGUACGGGCUCUGAGAGGAGAAGCCCGGAGAUGGGUACUGAGACACGGACCCAGGCCCUAUGGGGCGCAGCAGGCGAGAAACCUUAGCAAUGUGCGAAAGCACGACUGGGUCAGUCCGAGUGAUUCCUGAUAAAGGAGUCUUUUGCUUGUCCUAAAAGCACAGGUGAAUAAGGGGUGGGCAGGUCUGGUGUCAGCCGCCGCGGUAAUACCAGCACCUCGAGUGGUCAGGACGUUUAUUGGGCCUAAAGCAUCCGUAGCCGGCGCUGCAAGUCUUCGGUUAAAUCCACCUGCUCAACAGAUGGGCUGCUGGAGAUACUACAGCGCUAGGGAGUGGGAGAGGCAGACGGUAUUCAGUGGGUAGGGGUAAAAUCCUCUGAUCCAUUGAGGACCACCAGUGGCGAAGGCGGUCUGCCAGAACACGUUCGACGGUGAGGGAUGAAAGCUGGGGGAGCAAACCGGAUUAGAUACCCGGGUAGUCCCAGCUGUGAACGAUGCAAACUCGGUGAUGCAUUGGCUUAUGGCCAAUGCAGUGCCGCAGGGAAGCCGUUAAGUUUGCCGCCUGGGGAAGUACGGACGCAAGUCUGAAACUUAAAGGAAUUGGCGGGGGAGCACCACAAGGGGUGAAGCCUGCGGUUCAAUUGGAGUCAACGCCGGG
RNAcentral lists this ribosomal RNA (886 nucleotides) under uncultured archaeon. RNAcentral's name for it is "bacterial SSU rRNA". It matches the Rfam family "Archaeal small subunit ribosomal RNA", at positions 29 to 922 of the family's 1478-position model. The record is from RNAcentral.